RNAcentral lists this ribosomal RNA (768 nucleotides) under Austrochloritis sp. NE8. RNAcentral describes it as "partial large subunit ribosomal RNA". The stretch from base 369 to 522 matches the Rfam family "Archaeal large subunit ribosomal RNA", at positions 1885 to 2088 of the family's 2987-position model. The record is from RNAcentral. Lineage: Eukaryota; Metazoa; Mollusca; Gastropoda; Stylommatophora; Camaenidae.
UUAAUUAAAAGUAUUUAAUAUUAUUAUACACGAAGUUGGAGGAGCUAAUUAUUUUAUAUUUAUAGAUGUCAAUAUGUCGCAAAAUCAAGUAAGUAAUAAUUAGGAGUGAUAGGCUUAUCAUAUUCAACGAUAACUUGAUGGUUGAGAAAAGUAUAAAGUACAUAGGCACUUUUAAAAUGAUAAGGUUUUAAAGUAAGACAAAUGGUUUUAUUAAAUGUGUAUAUUAUUUAACCACUAAUACAGAAGCAACAUAAUAUUAAUUUAUUUUAACUUGUUGAUAUUAGAAACCGAUUUGAAAAUAAUAAUAUAAUAUAUAUAAUGUUGAUAUAAGUAUUGAGAAGUUGUAUAUAAUGAACUCGGCAAUAAGUCUUUCAACUGUUUAUCAAAAACAUAGCUAUGUGAAAUAAUACAUAGUGUUUUCUGCUCAAUGAAUAUUAAAUAGCCGCAGUACCCUGACUGUGCUAAGGUAGCGCAAUCAAUUGACUUUUAAAUGGAGUCCAGUAUGAAGGAAAUAAUGGAGGGCUACUUUCUAAUUUACAAUUGCAGAAUUUACUUAAGAAGUGCAAAUUCUUCUACAUUAACAAUAGACGAGAAGACCCUAGAAAUUUGUAGAAGCAACUUUUUGUUGGGGCAACAAAGUAGUAUUAGUAAAUCUACUAUUUUGACAAGAAAAAUAUAUUUUGGAAGAUAAAAUUACUCUAGGGAUAACAGCAUAAUUAAUAAUAGUUUGUGACCUCGAUGUUGGAUUAGGGAAUUUACAUUUAGAAG